Molecule: unclassified non-coding RNA, 2458 nt
Filed under: Hevea brasiliensis (rubber tree)
Lineage: Eukaryota; Viridiplantae; Streptophyta; Magnoliopsida; Malpighiales; Euphorbiaceae
Source: RNAcentral
AGAAGACACAAAAAAUUUAUUAUCACACAUUUUGAGAACUUGUUGCAUAUAAGAUGACAUAACAGAAAGGAUUAUUUAGAAAAGUAAAUGAAUACAGAUAAAGAUUUAGAUAAAUCAACAACAAACUUAUCUCUCGCUGUAAAUCUUCAUAACAAAAAGUUUUUAAUGAUAGGCUAUACCUUCUCUAGCAUACUUCUUUUGAUUUGUGCAAAAGGUUGCAGGUCCUUGCUUGCAAAUCUUCCAAGUGAAACAACAUCCAUAGAGUAUGGGUGCUAAAAAUCACAGCUUUUACCUCAAGAAUGUCAAGCAAGGCUUACCUCAAAAACUAUUGUAAGGAAAAUCUGUGUACUUGAUAAUCUUUGAAAAAUGGAAAAAUCUAGUCGGGAUUUGUUUGUGUUGAUUCUUCACUUUUUAAUGGCCUAUCUGAGCUAUUCAUGCUAGAGGAUUCUGAGGAAGUGUAGGAAUAGGAUUCAACUUUUGUUGCUGCUUUUGAUACAAAACCAUUUGUGCUGCAAGACCUUGUGGAGCUCUCAGGCUCUAACAGAGUAGCAUUCAUAAAAGGAGGUUGAUUUGGGAGAGGAAUCACACUAUGAUCACUACUAUUUAGCAUCCCCACCACUUCAGCCAUGGAUGGUCUUAAGGAAACUGAAGCCUGUGUGCAUAAGAGGCCGAUUUGAAGCACCCGGGAUGCCUCCUGUACUGGAAAAUCAUCUCUGAGACAAGGAUCAACGGCUUCUUCCAAUCUAUUUGUCCUGUAAAGUAGCCAUACCUGAGGCCAAAAGGUAAGAAAUCUAUCACAUUAUCAAACAGAAUAAAUGUUCCACUAUUGCUUUUAUAUGGACUAGUAGUUUGAUAAAAAGAGAUUUGCACAAGAAAGACUUGAGAUCAUACUGUUUGCAGAAGUGACCUGGAGUCCUCUAUGAAAGAGUUACACCUUUUACCCAUUACAAUCUCAAGAACCAGUACUCCAAAACUGUAAACAUCAGCUUUGUGGGUCAAAUAACCCCAUAAUGCAUAUUCUGGUGCCAUAUAUCCACUGCAAUGAUUUAAUAAUUUGAAGACUUUAGCAUAUGCCAUCAUAGAUUGACUACAAUCUAGUAAUAAGUCCAACACAACAGGGAAUGAGAGGAAAAGAGGUGCUUUUGUUCAAUACGGUAACUGAUAAUGCUUGAACAAUGAAAUGAUCUGACUCACUUUCAAGAGCUUAUGAGUUACGCCUAACAUAUAUAUGAUAUUGCAUUUUGUGCUCUACAAACAAAUUUGAAAAGCAAAGGAGAAAAAAAUGAGAAUCUACCACAAAAAUUAUGCAACAGAAGUUAGUUGACCUAGAAUGAAGAGAACUCAAAAAUUAAAUAGAGAAAAAGAAGAAAUGUGAGCUCACAUGGUUCCAGCAACUCUUGUGCUGAUGUGGGUGUUCUCCUUUUCAUCAAGCUUAGCCAAAACAAAAUCAGAAAUCUUAGGAUUCAUGUCCUUAUCAAGCAAUAUGUUAGUAGUUUUGAUGUCUAUAUGACCAACUUUUAGAGGGGAUUCUUCAUGCAGGAAAGCCAGACCUUUUGCUAUGCCAACACAAAUCCUUUGCCUUGUAGGCCAAUCCAGUUUCAACUUGCUUUCCUCUGUGCCAAACAAUGCAUGUGCCAGGCUGUUGUUUUCCAUGAACUCAUAUACCAACAAUAAUUGAUUCCCUUCAACACAGCAUCCAUACAAUCUAACAAGAUUUGGAUGUUGUAAAGCAGAAAUCAUGCCUAUUUCAUUCAAAAAUUCUCUAUUUCCCUGUUUUGAUUUGGAAGAAAGUUGCUUAACAGCAAUUAUGGUACCAUCUGAUAGUGUUCCCUUGUAAACCGAUCCAAAACCACCUUCUCCAAUCUUAUUUGCUGGGUUGAAAUUUCCGGUUGCCUUAUAAAUCUCUUCAAUGGAGAAAUUGACUGUCCCAAACAGUCCACUUGUGGUGCUUGAAGAGCCAUAGGAACUAGAGAAUUUGAAUCUUGAAGAACUCUUACUGUUGCUUCCUGUUGAAAGAUCAUUUGAAAAGGAAAUCCCUUCAACUUGACUGUUGUAUGUUUUGCCUGGCCCAGUUACCGCUCCGGCUGCCUUUUUUCUCCGGAAACGCAAAAUUGUGAAAAUUCCAGCUACCUUUUUGAUAUAGUUGAAGACAGGACGAGUUCGAGGUCUGCCAUGGUCAUUGUUUGUGUAAGAAUUCUGUUUUCUUUGGCUUGACUGAAGGAUAUAGGUACUCGAUGCGUUCUUCAUUUGCAGAGAUAUGGCUUGUUGUGUGGAUUAUGUCCUUUGCUUAAACUUGUAAGUAAUUGGGGAUUUCGUUGUUUCCAUGUCGCUGAUUUUUGUUUAAUGUUUUUCCAGGACUAAUUCAAGCUCAGGCGCGUCAGUGCUUGUCCUGGAGGAAAGUUUAUCAAUCGCAGCAGAAUUUUAUAUUGAAAUUACCAAGUCAACCGGGUACAGACAA